Long non-coding RNA from Arabidopsis thaliana (thale cress), 367 nucleotides. RefSeq annotates it as other RNA. The transcript has a single exon. NCBI's taxonomy places the organism in Eukaryota, Viridiplantae, Streptophyta, Magnoliopsida, Brassicales, Brassicaceae. The record is from RefSeq.
AACUGAAGGUUUAAUGUGCAUUACAUUAGCGUAUAAAUGAACAGUAACCGAGUAGGGUCGACCCCUGAUAAAAAAUUGGAUCGAUUAAACUAAAAAUGGGUUCAAAUGGGGAAAUUCGGGUGUGGUAUUGUAAUAGUUGGUGGUCGAUGAGUCCUCAUAUUUCUUAUGGACUCCUGUGUGGAGGAACCCUAUCGUUUGAUUGCACAGUCAACCAUACAUUAUGGUCCAUCCAUGCCUUCCCAUGUGCAUUGCAGAUAUCGAUCAAUGCCUCAAUUCUUGGACUUAGUCUUCUACUUCCGUCGGUUGAUGUCCUUGGCUGAUACUUUUACCUUCUUCUUGGUUUCUCCUUGGCGCCUCCUAAACUCUU